Anas platyrhynchos (mallard) is the source of this 2522-nucleotide long non-coding RNA. RefSeq lists it as uncharacterized. The record is from RefSeq and is a predicted model, not a curated record. Lineage: Eukaryota; Metazoa; Chordata; Aves; Anseriformes; Anatidae.
CAUGUCUUUUCGAGUUAGCUGACAAAAGAGCUCCUCACAGUGAAGAGGAGCUCCUUGUGACACAGCCCAGUGGAUGUACAGCUCCGUGUCAUCAGCCAGAGACACGGGCUGGUGUGCAUGUGUGUGAUUUAUUAAUCAUAAUCUGCCUACCUUCUGAUGCCCUGGCCGUGAUGAUGGACAGCUUCUAAGAAGCAUCAGGACCAGCCCAGUAAAUAGCGUGUGUUCUGCUUUCAUUUAUCGCCGUGAGGAAUGUUCUGCGAGGGUCAAGCAAAACACUGCUUUGUGUGACCGUUCACUCUGCGAUGUCUCAGACCUUCACACAAGCCUUGGGUGUUGUUCCUGUGGGCUACAGAAGAAGCAGGGACAAACAACGCAGAUGUCCUUUAGGCACAAACUCUAGUUCAGGGAGAAAGUGUUCAGUAACCUUGCUGCAGAUGAUGCCCUAGGCCUCCAGUGUCCGUCCACCAGAUGGCACCAAGUCACUGAUGCUUAUAAAAUCCUCUGCCUUCACUGUGCCUUGGUUAUGAUAGGCACUAACACUGGCUGUGUGAGCCUCAGGGAGUGGUUGAACUGAGCCAGGUGUGCUUCGGCUUUAUCUUUGUCUCCCUUUUCUCUGGCCUCCCUUUUCUAAGUCCUCUGAGAGCUAAAGCACUCUGGUUUAGAUUGCAGACUUAAUUCCCAUUUCCCUUCCACGAGGUGACUACAGAGAUUGAAAUAAACCCCAAACAUUCAAAGUUCCUGAAAACAAGAGCGGAAAGCCAGUGGAAAGCCAGCACACAUCAACCCACCCCUGACUUGGGGAGGUUUCCUACAGAGCCUGUAGCUGAAUGGGUCCUGCUGGCUGCAUGGAGCCACCAUGGUUGGCUUUGUUCCCCUCUGCACCGUGCGGUGCCUUACACCAGGGGUACAAGAAACAUUUGCCAGCUCUUGGGAAAGGAGCUGCAAGGUCCUGUAAUACGUUUGGGCUUUUAUUCUGGCCUGGACCAUUUCUCACAGCUUCAGUAAAAAUUCUGUUUUAAAAGUACAUCUGAUUUCUACUGGCUUGUGCGUUUGGAGAUGGAUUAAUAGGUGCGCUGUCACCAAGGCGUACUGUCUUCAGAGUGUGACCGCUUGGGACAUGCUUAAGUAAAACAGGAUUUUUGUUUGUUUUGAUCUUAUUAUCUGCAUUGGGCAGAUUCUGGCACUUUUCUUGGGCAGUGUGACUGAAAAGGUUCGCUACCUGAAGCAACAGCAUUUCACCCUCUACAAAUACUGUAAAUACUGUAUUGAUGCUGCCUCUUCCACUUGGCUUGAGAGUGGAUUCUGUCCAAGAGAAAUAAAAGCUGGCUGGGGCCACCUGUGCUCAUGUCCUCAGUAGUAUUUCAGAGCCAGUAAAAAGAUUAAGAAUAGUAAAUAGAAAAAAAUAAAAUAAAAUCCUUUAUUUCAUGGAGAUUUCAUCACAGAGUUCAAAGAUGUUCGCUAUGUCACUAAAUAAGAAACUAUAGCUGUAUGUUAACAUUCAUCUACAGUUUCCAUCAGCUGAUACACCUUCAUGUCUCAGUUGCAUGCCCUUUACUACCUGAAAACAAACAAACAAACAAACAAACCACCUUAUAGGACACUGGCACAAGCCUCAAGAUACCUGCUCUGAGCAUCCUCUCUCUGCUCCAAGCAUCUUGUCUCUGCUUCUGCUUUACUUCAGACAUGCUACACAAAUACCUUUUUCCUAUCUGUAAAUUAGUGUGGUCAUUCUCUUCUUCCCAUAUGUUUAUUUAUACUUUAAAGAUUUUAUCACAAUGUGUUUUUCCACAAUUUAACUCAUCGCUGUGGCUAUCCCUAGAUAUUAAUACAAUACUUGAAUGCUAUGAUUUUUUAUCGAUUUUUUUUUCCUGUCCAUAAUUUACUAAUAAGACUCAGGAAACUUUUCCAGAACUUUAAGGCAGCCUUUGCCAAAGGAUUGUAAAAUGUUUUUGAGAUUGCCAGGAUGAACAUGCUAAAGAAGUGCCAAGUGGGAUGAUAACAGCCUCCGUUUGUUACCUUGGAACUUCAGUGAAAGCAAGUCGUGAAGCUCUUGUCCCCAGCUGGUGGAAACUGGGCUGUCUCUGGCAAGUCUCAUAAGACUUUCUAAUUCCCUACCUCAGGUCUUCAUCCUGCUUUUCAUUGAUCUACUAUUCUUAGCGUGCUGGUGAGUUGCUUGUUUUCAGUGCAAACUUGAUUCACACAGCCCAAAGUUGGCACUGUAAGUGAAGCACUCGCUAUGGUUUAUGUUACCUCAUUAUUUUUCUUUCUGACACGGGGGUGUUUUGCAAAGCUUAAUUGAAACCAACAGGUAAUUGUCUGACCUGCACUAGUUAGAACUGACCUACUAGGUAUCAAUUUUGUAUACUUGGACUGCUUUUUUGGCUUGCACACAAAUAUUUAUGGCAAAUUGGUUUUAAACCUAUUGUAAGAGGGUUGCUGUGGCACAACAGGAUUAUUUACGUCUCAGAAUUUCACCCCUUAAAAUCCAGGUUUUAUUUCACAAAUAAAAAUGCAUCUGUGCA